Molecule: long non-coding RNA, 776 nt
Organism: Raphanus sativus (radish)
Lineage: Eukaryota; Viridiplantae; Streptophyta; Magnoliopsida; Brassicales; Brassicaceae
Exons: 4
Source: RefSeq, a predicted model, not a curated record
AAUAUAACUAGACCAUAACAUUUACGAUCUACUUUUUUUUUCUGAAGAUUGCUUUGUGUUCUUCGAUCCCUAUAUCUCCAAAUUGUUAUUCUUGAUUCUUCAGUGGAGAUAGAAACUCUCUAAGCCACGCUCUAAGACAAAGACACCUCCCUCAAGAAUAAGUUUUCCGAAUUGGAUGAGGUUAAUAGGGAAACAGGAAGAGAAGUUACUUACCUUUGUUUCAGCCUCAGAGACGUUGACACAGCAUUUGAAAAGUGGAAACCAGAAUAUGAAGGAGAACAUGGAGAGAUGGAGGAAAGAGAUAAGCUCAAACCAGGCAUGUGGUACCCUAUAUUAAUGUGUUAAUCUUCUUCCCCUGGACUUGCUUCUGACUUCUUGUGAAGUGUAAAAUCAUGGCUGUCUUGGUCCACAUAUAUACCUGGGACUAGAGCGUCUGGAGUCUCAAAAGUGCCUUGUGGAAGAAGAACAAAAGAGUAACUUCUUACGGUAUAAGAAACGAGCCAACGAGAUAUACAAUAUGGCAGAGGAUCGGAAGUCAACCAGUGGAAGGAAUCAGGUUGCUCUUUGGCUGCUUAAUUAACCAUUACUUUCCGGCAAGAGGACAAGCCACGAACCAUCAAAAGUACCAAACAAUCUUAUCGUUUUUGUUUUCUGGGUUUGUUAAUUUUAAUGAUUAUUCUUACACAGAGCCUUUGGUUGCAAGAGGAGUCAGAUAUCGAUUGCAGCAGCAGUUAUAUACAUAAAAACACUUCUCUGAUGAGAAGAAGUUCAAGAUC